This 482-nucleotide ribosomal RNA is filed under the name uncultured bacterium. RNAcentral describes it as "partial 16S ribosomal RNA". It matches the Rfam family "Bacterial small subunit ribosomal RNA", at positions 30 to 507 of the family's 1533-position model. The record is from RNAcentral.
AUUGAACGCUGGCGGCAUGCCUUACACAUGCAAGUCGAACGGUAACGGGCCUUCGGGUGCCGACGAGUGGCGAACGGGUGCGUAAUACAUCGGAACGUGCCCGAUCGUGGGGGAUAACGAGGCGAAAGCUUUGCUAAUACCGCAUACGAUCUACGGAUGACAGCAGGGGACCGCAAGGCCUUGCGCGGACGGAGCGGCCGAUGGCAGAUUAGGUAGUUGGUGGGAUAAAAGCUUACCAAGCCGACGAUCCGUAGCUGGUCUGAGAGGAUGAUCAGCCACACUGGGACUGAGACACGGCCCAGACUCCUACGGGAGGCAGCAGUGGGGAAUUUUGGACAAUGGGCGCAAGCCUGAUCCAGCCAUGCCGCGUGCAGGAUGAAGGCCUUCGGGUUGUAAACUGCUUUUGUACGGAACGAAAAGCCUUCUUUUAAUACAGGAGGGUCAUGACGGUACCGUAAGAAUAAGCACCGGCUAACUACGUG